UGGUAAAGUUGAGAAAGGGAAGGAGUAUUGAAGCACAGAAAGCGGUGAAAUUAAGCCGGUUCGGCUAAGAUCCUUUGCAACCUCCUCCCUGCAGGAUGGCCGGCGGCAACCAUCCCAAAUCCUCUCUCCAUAACAAACCUCCGCCCUCCUCCGCCGCCUCCGCCUCCGCCUCCCACCGUAAAUCCCGCUGGGAACCCAACUCCUCCUCCGUCAAAUCCCCACCCGAUCCCAAAACCUCCGCCGCCCCUUCCCCAAACCCAAGCCCAAACCCAAACCCAAUUCUAACCCUAACCCUAGCCCCAAACACCCAUCCGAUCACCCUUCCCUCCUUCCCUUCCCCUUCCCAGACCCCUCCCCUCUCGGCCCACCCCCUCCUCCCGCC
RNAcentral lists this long non-coding RNA (382 nucleotides) under Phaseolus vulgaris (common bean). RNAcentral's name for it is "long non-coding RNA (PVUL_LNC002010)". Lineage: Eukaryota; Viridiplantae; Streptophyta; Magnoliopsida; Fabales; Fabaceae. The record is from RNAcentral.